GUGGACACAAGGAGUUAGAUGUAGUUAUAUAAAUUAGGUUUUUGGAGGUGGUUGCUAUUUGGUUUAGGYUGAGAUUUUUUCACGCUUUGUGGAGAAGACUGUUUGCAGUUACCAAUGAUCUUUGUUGAGUUCGGAAGCUUGUCCUGAUUAUGGCCAUUGUAUAGAACUCCUCACAUCUACGGAGGGUGAGGUGGCUGCGUGCAGAACUACACAGAGGAUGGGCACCAGGCUCAGCAGCUGGGAUCAACGUGGUGUUCAACGUAGGAACCGUGCCCAUGUCAUAAUUAUAUGAUGGACAUAUUUAAAAAGCAAAUUAUCCAAUGUUGCAUKUGCAAUCUCAGUGACACAAUUUGGCUGCUAAGUCUGUAUAUGAAGCUYGUUGAAUAACCAUUUUUCAAAACAUGUUUUCCUAUGAAAAUAAGUUUUUAGGGAGUAGAAAGCUAGCUGAAUACUUAACCAUCAUAUUUAGUUAAAUAUAAUGCUCUUGUUGUGACUUUUACAUCACACAAAAGCUAUGUAUUACAUUUUUUUUGUCUUUGAACUCAGCCAUAGAAAGUUAUUCUCCUCUCUAGAUAGUUGUAUUAUUUAAGCACUUUUUGUUUUGAUGGAAAUUACUUUUGUAGGAAGAAAUUUACCGCUUUGA
This is a long non-coding RNA of Nothoprocta perdicaria, 643 nucleotides long. RefSeq lists it as uncharacterized. NCBI's taxonomy places the organism in Eukaryota, Metazoa, Chordata, Aves, Tinamiformes, Tinamidae. The record is from RefSeq and is a predicted model, not a curated record. The transcript has 3 exons.